CAAACUACAAUUCCCAGCAUACACUACAGCAGGAACCCCCCAGGCCUCAGUAUGGCGCGCACAUCGCUCGGUGAAAUACGAAUUCUACUAUUACCCGCAUUCCACUUUGUCAGAGGAAAAGGCUUGGAAUCUUUUGAGGGUUCGCCUGCAACUUGAACUGCUCUCAAUGAAAUACAAUAUAAUGCUGUUCUUUAAUCCCAUAUUGCAAAGAUAUGUAAGGGUCACGAUUGAUGACUAGCUCAAGAUUUCAACCUUACCGCCACUUGUUAUGUCGAUAACUAGCAGUACAAUAUAAGAGAGAGGAGCCACUGAUGCAGUAACUAUUAUUAAUUUCAGACUCCUCAUGCCAGGGGUGAAAUUCACUUACCUUCCCUACUGGUUCGCAAAUGUGGGCGCACUCACUUUGCUCGCGCGCACCUGCACUGCCAGCACAUAGGACAGGGCAGCAGCACAUUGGGGAAGCGGAGUGGAGGCGGAGAUCGGUAAUUUUCGCUGCAAGAAGCCUGCAGCCACGUCAGCUGCAAGCAUCUCGCAACAAGGGGCGAGAUGCGGGCUGGCAGGGAGCCCAGCGGCAACAACGGCUCAAUCCUGUCUUGCCUUUCCUGGUAGCCAGCUAGGGGAGGAAGUGACAGCUGGCCUAAGUGACAUCAGGGGAUCAACAAAAGGGAAUGCCCGGAAUAUUUUCACAUAUCUGAAGUAGCUGAAGAUGAGGACUCCCCAAAAUAAUGUCAUUAGCAAGAUGUUCCAACCGGCAACAUGAAUCCAAUUUGGUCUGAAAAACAAUAUAAUUUGUACUUUUAAAAAACUAAUUAAGUGUAACAAAACUAGCAUAUAAAGCACAUAGUUUAUUUAUUAAUAUAAUCAGAGCAAUUAAAAUAUUAAAGGAGAUAGUAAUUUUUUCUGAACAUUCUUAAAAGUUAUUUCAGUAAUGCAACUUAAAAGGUGAAACUAAUAUAUGAGAUAGACUCAUUACAUGCAAAGCAAGAUAGUUCAAGCCUUGAUUUGUCAUAAUUUUGAUGAUUAUGGCUUACAGCUCAUGAAAACUCCAAAUUCACAAUCUCAGAAAAUUAGAAUAUUGUGAAAAGGUUCAAUAUUCUAGGCUCAAAGUGUCCCACACUAAUCAGCUAAUUAAGCCAUAACACCUGCAAAGGGUUCCUGAGCUUUUAAAUGGUCUCUCAGUCUGGUUCACAAUCAUGGGAAAGACUGCUGACCUGACAGCUGUGCAGAAAACCAUCAUUGACACCCUCCAUAAGUCUAUCUCAUAUAUUAGUUUCACCUUUUAAGUUGCAUUACUGAAAUAAAUGAACUUUUGCAUGAUAUUCUAAUUUUUCGAGUUUCACCUGUAUUUCCAGGCUAUAAUGUCAAGAUAACAAAGGCCAGAUUUGUGGUUUACAGACAUUGCAGAAUUUCACUUAUCGUUUCCAGUUUAUACCAUCCCAGCAUAAUUCCAUGUCCCUUUUAAAAGCUCUGGAUUACAAUCCUUUCUAGAAAUAUUCAGAUCUAAAACACCUUCUCACCACCCCAAAGGGCGCAGCAUAAACCCUGCAUAUUCCCUACUGUUAACUCUGCCAUCAUACUAUACCAGAUCAGGAGAUACUACUAUAGGAUUGAACAGAAUUAAGUAUAACAUUAAACAUUCCUUGACUUAUCGAUCUUUCAGUAUUAAAUAGGCAACCAUCUUCCUGCACUGCCUCCUGAAUUCUGCAAAAAGCAAAAAGCUGUUCUCUGCAUAAAAUAAUAAAUGGUCAUUAACCUGACAUCUGAAAGGCCAGUGUUAAGAAAUCAAUGAGAACAGUUCAGCCUUUUCAGCCAUUUUGUGCCUGUCUUCAAAAUAAGACUUCAAAAGGAAAAUGAAUUAUAAUUUAUAAGGAAGUUUUAUAUAUUUUUUUAUUAUACCAGAGACCAGAACAAAUAAAAGCACUCAGUAUAUAUAUAUACUUAAAAAUUCCAAAUGCAAAACUGAGGAGAGGAGUUUCAGUUUUACUUUCACAGCAGCAACCAGGGGAUAGGAUACGGGAUGCUUCUGUGAGACAAGCCUGAGGGAGAGAAGGGGGAUAGAAUAGGAUAGGAUUCUGUGGGGCAAGUCUGAGGGAGAGAAGGGGGAUAGAAUAGGAUAGGAUUCUGUGGGGCAAGGCUGAGGGAGAGAAGGGGAUAGGAUAGGGAAGGCUUCUGUGAGGCAAGGCUGAGCGAGAGGAGAAGCCGAUCGUAACUACUCAUUAAUUUUGAAGCUAUAAGUGUCGAUUUAUCAAGCCCCAUCACAUAGUUUCGUAGCAAAGCACGGGUAUCCAGCUAGUGUAUAAUAAAACCCAGUGUCAAUUAUACAUGGUCUGACUAUAUGAUAGUUGCAAUCCCAAAACUGUGUGGCCCGUUUAGGUUCAACACUAAAAGGGAAAUGACUAAGCAGCGCAAAGGGUUUGUCACAAUUGUCAUAUAACAUUGCUAUGGUGAGAAGACACGUGUUUGCAAUGAAUCCCCAUUGCUGCUGUGCAGAAUCUAGCCACCUGCACUGUAGUAAUUGACUGUUCAUCCUUAAGCAGCCACUGAAGGUAGGUAGUGUCGGAACGGCCAGGAUACCUAGCAGUUAUUGGCAGAAUAUGCUUUUUCCUAAUCUCCGUAUAAAAGGAACAUCUAAGGAGCAUGUGACCCACAGUCUCCACUUCUCCUGAGCCGCAGGGACAGAGUCUUUCCAUGAAUGGUAUCCUUUUAUAUUUGCCAUACAGGACCGCAUAUCAGGAAGUUCAAUUUUAUCUCUUGGAGCUUAAAUUUGGAUUUUAAAAAAACCUUUAAACAUGUACUAUGCUUAAAUAUUACAUAUAUUGAAUGACCAAAGCAAGUUGUUUCUGUUAUCAAAGUGGCAGGGAAUGGUCAGAACACCACUGCUCAUUUUUCUUACACUUAAGUUUAAUAUAGUUGUGAUAGCCUAUGUUCUAGCAGUUUAUUUCUAUCUGAUCUUGUUUCCAAUUUUUCUCUCAUUUAACUGAAAACUGAAGAAUGAAAUUUAUUCCUAGGACCUGUAAUAUGGUAUAAUUCUUCCGUCGCGAGCUGAAGACGUGGCUCUUCCGCCAAUUACACUGAUCUGUUUGGGGAUACACUGCAUCCCCAUGGACACCUGAUCAAAAUUCAGACGCUUGGCAACUGAUUCACAUUUACGAUGAUUGCAGUGUCCUGGGAUCAUGUAUGAUCACCUUUUGCGACUUUCUGACAAGCAAAGUCAAUGGGGAAGCCAGAUUCACUUAACAACUAUUACUAACUUAACAACUUCAGUGACUUACUUAACAACUGUGGUAAGAAAGGUUGUAAAAUAAAGCACAAUUCACUUAACGUCUCAUUCAACAACAGAAA
Molecule: non-coding RNA, 3342 nt
Organism: Pantherophis guttatus
Lineage: Eukaryota; Metazoa; Chordata; Lepidosauria; Squamata; Colubridae
Source: RefSeq, a predicted model, not a curated record